Molecule: long non-coding RNA, 389 nt
Filed under: Elaeis guineensis (African oil palm)
Lineage: Eukaryota; Viridiplantae; Streptophyta; Magnoliopsida; Arecales; Arecaceae
Description: long non-coding RNA (EGUI_LNC069490)
Source: RNAcentral
UCGGGCAAAAUAGUUAGAAAAAAAAAAAAACUACUCGUAGACAUUCUCAUCUUUGAGAAAAAGUCCGAGGCAUUAUCAUUAUCUCUUUUUUUUUUUAAUUUUUUUCAUUUUUAAUUGCAGGGAAGAGAACGGGUCCAGGCUCAUCCGAUCCGUCUUAAUCCAUCUCAGGUCCGUAAGCUUCCAUUAAUUAUUCGGCAAAUUUUUUCUCGUGCUUAUAAACCGAGUGAUGCAAUUGAGUCAAACUGAAUCAAAUAGUUAGAAAUCAAAUUUAAUACGAUUUAAAAUAUUUAAAUUUAAAAUUUAAUUUGAAAUUGAUCAAUCUUUAAUAUCUAAAUUUAAACUUGAUUAGAUUAAAAAAAUAAUAAUAUUUGAGAUUGAUUUAAUUUGAC